GUAAAAAGCAGACCGACGAGCGGACAAGGCGAAGACCUGAGCGGCAGCAGCGCAAACACGAAAAGCCAGAAGCAGCACCCAAACCAAAGCAAAGCAAAGCCCAGACCGAAACAACUCGAACUUCGUGCAGUGUGGCGGACUGAAGAGAAACCGAAGGAGCGGAAAAGAAGCGAAUUCGAGCGUAAACAAACAGAGAGAACUGGAGCGAGCGCCGAAAAACAAAAGUUAGUCCAAAGACACAAGAUAGAGUGAAAAACCCCACACACUCGCGGGAGUACAGGAAGAAGUUGUUCCGGAAAACGCGCCGAAAAGUGCAUUUCAGUUUUUUUUUCGAGUGAAAGUUGGGCGCCCACGCCCACGCCCACAAUGAACCGCUCGAACAGCUUUGUCAGCUCGCUGAAGUGGUGGCCACUGCAGGGCCACAACAACCAGCCGGCCGCCGUGGCGCCACCUGCCGGCAGCGGCGGCGGCUACUCGCAGUCGGCGCCCAGCUCGCCCACCUCCAGCUGGCCACCGCCACUGCAGCAGCAGCAGAACCCCUCUGCCCACCGGCUGCUGCCGCCCACCGCCCACCAGAAGGUCGCCGGCGGCGGCACCGUGGGCGCCACCUUCGGCAGCAGCGUCGCCGUGCAGAAGCUGCGCGAAUCCAAGUGGUUCAAGCCCGAGGAGCAGCGCAUCUUCUGCGCCGUCGUCGAGUGCGGCUUCGUGGUGGAGAUCCGCAGCAGCGCCGCAGCAGAGGCGGCGGCGGCCAAUGCGGCGGCAGCGGCCGCUGCAGCCGCCUCCGGUGACGCCGACGUCGACGCUUUGGAGGAGCUCGACUGCCCCCUCACCGCCCAGCCCCUGACCCUGACCCCACCGAACCAGGCCCCGAAGCCAAACCAAGCCCAGUCCCACCCACAGCGGCUGGUCAUCCCGCGCAACGGCAGCAGCUUCCUGGAGACGCAGGACGAGAACGAGACGCCAGUGGCCUCCUGGUACGGCAUCGUGCUCUGCAAGGUGGCCAAAGACAAUAAACCCAAGCCCGAGACCAUUGAGAUAUUUUCUGUGAAAAUACGCGAGAAUGGCACAUACAAACUGAUCAAGAUGCAGCUGGCGGACAUUUGGAGCCAUGGGUGGGAGCUGCGCAUCAACAACUUUGCCGACAAGGAGAAGGUGCCCCACAACGAAAAGGACAUUCGCAACCAGGUGUCGGUGGCGCGCAAGGCCAAGCAGAGUCUGUGGAACAACAACAAGCACUUCGUGUACUGGUGUCGAUACGGGAGUCGUCAGCAGGAUCUGCGGAAGCGACAGGUAACGACGAGUGCCAAUCACGUGCUGCUGCACCUGAUCAAUUGAUAAGCGGAGCCAGCCGGCGAAAAGCGAAAGGCCCAGAGCAAAAAUUUAAAGAAACGAAGAGAUGUGCUAAUGACAAGCCGACACAGAAACCAAAAUUUGCCACCCACUCCUCCUCCUGAUCCUCACCUCCCACCUCCCACCUCCCACCGCCCACCGCCCACCACCCACAUGCAUUGAUCGUUGUAGUUGCAGCAGCAAACAGCAAAUGAAGCGAAUGAAACCCCCAAGAAAGCUAUGUAAAAACACAGAGACACACACACAGACCGCACACUGACCCAAACCAUACACUCAGAACAAUGCAUGGACUAGAAACGAACUGAGGAACCCAGAAAAAAGAUCCAUUAACCUUUCUAGGGCCCCCCACAAGAUACUUAACCAUCAUCAUUCUGACUCAUGCUUGCUUUGCUCAUCUAUAUAUUCGCCAAAAAAACCAAAAAGAGAUGCUAACCCCGAGAAUUUCCGCAAUUUAACCAGUAGAAACUCAAAAGUAAUGCAUCCACCCAUUCCCAAAAAGAAGCGUUCAUCUCGCUGCCGUAGCGAAAGCAUUACUUUGCGCAUUACUCUAUAUGUAUAUACUAUCUGUAAACUCUGUGAGACUGCAAACUGCCCAUUUAGUGUUGAUGUGCUAUGAUGUGCAAGCAAAAAAUGAAAACAUGGGCCUGAUUUUUGAUUUUCGAUUUUCGAUCAAUAGAGAGACCUUGCUUGAUUUUCUUUUCUCCACCACUUUCAGUUAGAUUUUCCGGAUUCAAAGUCCCACAUACGUUGAGUUCUUGUAUUCAAAAGAUAGAGAAACAAGCUUAAAGUCUGGGUGAAUCGUACUGGAUUAUCUGGCGGAGAGAGCGGGCGUGAGAAAGCGAACCAAACGAACAGUACUGUAUUGGCGAAAGCGAAGAUCGGAAACGGGCGCCACACACACAGCACACACGGCACACAUCCCCCCUGUCUGUUCUCCUGCUCCGGCACUGCGAUCCCGGCCAGGCCUCCGAACCGAGAUAUGUCGGAGUGCGUGAAGUGGGGCAGCGUGGGCAUGAAUGCGGGCAUGCUGUUGGUGCUCAAUAAUCGGCAGAAAUGCCACUCCCACUCAAAGUAACUAGCCAGCUAACUAGGUACCUUCUUCACCUUUCCCCCACAUCGAUCUGAAUGUAUAUAUAGAAGAUGUAUGUGUGGAAUAGCUUGCUGAGCGAUUUUGUACGGCAAACAAGUAUUAAGGCAUUAAGGCGAAUUCGGAUGAUAAGAUAAUUUAUGGCUUAAGAACGCCCAGGGCAGUGGAAAAAACCAAAUGCAAAUAUACGUAUUAAGUGCGGAGGUAGCCAGGAAAAUUCAGAUCAGGGCGAGGGCUCUUUUUCGGCAGUAUUACCUACAACAUUGAGGAACCUUUAUAAUAUUAAAUUAUCAAACAAAAAACAGAAAGAAAACAGAAAACAGAAAAAGGCAGGGCGAAGCUGAGCAAAGCAAGGAGCACGGCCCCAAUCCAUACGUCACAAGAACACGACACACCCGCGCCCAAGAUUGUAGAGCUGUUGCAACUCGAGCUGCAACCCAUCAAGAUACAAUACCUUGUAUUUACAAUUGUGCAUACGACACAGAACGAGAGAGAGAGACACACACACACACUGUGAAAUUCGAAAAGACUUAUUAAAUAUUUGUUUGUUUUUUUGUCCUAAUUUUUUGUUUUUCCAUGUGAUUGCAUACGUAUACAUUAUUAUAUAUUUAUAUAGAUUGCGAAAAUGGCAAGCAUAUAUUGUUUUCUUCGUUGUUUAAGCGUAGUUAAGGUAAUAUCAAGCGAGACCCUACGUAGCAAGCAUAAUAGUUUAUAGCAUUGUAAAACAAUCAAAACAUUCGAAAUGUUUCGUUGUGGUUAGCUAUUUGGCUCUACGAGACAGCAGACGACGACUCAUGCAGAAAAAUAGAUCAGAGGAACGGCGGACCCAAGCAAAACAGAUAGUGUUCUUGCACUUGGGGAGCCGAAAACUGGACGCACUGUACGGAUACGGACUGUACACACGUAGGGCAUACCAGACAGCUACAAAACUUACAAAAUUACAAUAAAAAACCCCUAUAACUGAGUAAAGAACGCUAGUUCGUAAGCUAUACGUACAUUAUUACCUAUGUUGUUUAAGUUUUGUACUUUUAAGCAAUUUAUAACGUAUUUAUGGUAGUCUUAUAUACAUUUCGACAAUGUGAGGAAAUUUGAAUAUGAAACGUUUGUAAAAUGCUUUAUAUUGAUAUUAUUAUUAAAUGUUUACCAACGGAUAAAACAAUA
Drosophila biarmipes is the source of this 3598-nucleotide RNA transcript. RefSeq lists it as uncharacterized. NCBI's taxonomy places the organism in Eukaryota, Metazoa, Arthropoda, Insecta, Diptera, Drosophilidae. The transcript has 4 exons. The record is from RefSeq and is a predicted model, not a curated record.